RNAcentral lists this non-coding RNA (282 nucleotides) under Phascolarctos cinereus (koala). Lineage: Eukaryota; Metazoa; Chordata; Mammalia; Diprotodontia; Phascolarctidae. The record is from RNAcentral.
GCUAGAGGAUGGGGGCAUGUACCUGUAAUUCCUGUUACCAGGGAAGCUGUGCUUCUGAGCUCAGGUGUUCUGAGCCACAGUGGGCUAUGCCAAUUGGGGGUCCACACCAAGUACUGCAUCAGCAUAGUAAGCCCCUGGGUAGGGGAGACACUGGGUUGCCAAGGUUGGGGCAAACAGUCCUAGAUUGGAAACAGAGGAGGUCAAAUUCCUGUGCCAAUCAGAGGCAGGAUUAAGCUUAAGAUUUUAGUCACUGCAUUUACAGCCUGGGAAAGAUGGGGAGGA